This is a long non-coding RNA of Xiphias gladius (swordfish), 499 nucleotides long. RefSeq lists it as uncharacterized. The record is from RefSeq and is a predicted model, not a curated record. NCBI's taxonomy places the organism in Eukaryota, Metazoa, Chordata, Actinopteri, Istiophoriformes, Xiphiidae. The transcript has 4 exons.
ACACAACGUUUCCAUAUUAACUACUGUUCCACCAGACAGUAAGAAACUCACUCUGAUGGGGGAAAACUGCAGCUCCAGGAUACACUACACUUUACAUAUUGACUUGACUGAGUGUUUUUCCCUAGAUGUUUUCUAAUGUAGUUAGAUGAGGGGGGAGCAGACAGAAAAUUGUGCUCACUUUCUGUACUGUGGUGAAUAAUUUUGUGGUCAAGCUCUUAGUAUCUGCUGUGGUGUUUACAGAGGACAGGUGACAUCAUCUACAGUAGUGGCCAAGAUACCAGGGUUCACAGUGUCACAGCUCUUCUCCUCUUCUCUGAUGUCUGUGAUGUCAGUGGCUCACCAAAGAUGAUCCCUCACAAUCUCCUCUCUGCCAAAGUGGUUUUUUCAACCACAUAUGGAUUUCUGCCAGAAUGGAAUGGAAACAGCUGGACACCCAAUGAGAGAUCCAUGCUGCUUUCUUUAAAGGAAACAUUAGGAAUGAUUUAGAAUGAUCAUCAGC